RNAcentral lists this ribosomal RNA (253 nucleotides) under uncultured bacterium. RNAcentral describes it as "partial 16S ribosomal RNA". It matches the Rfam family "Bacterial small subunit ribosomal RNA", at positions 524 to 776 of the family's 1533-position model. The record is from RNAcentral.
UACGAAGGUGGCAAGCGUUACUCGGAAUUACUAGGCGUAAAGGGCAGGUAGGUGGUUUGGUUAGUCUGUUGUGAAAGCUCCUUGCUCAACGGGGAGAGGUCAACAGAUACUGCCAGACUUGAGUAUGGGAGAAGGUACUGGAAUUCCCGGUGUAGCGGUGAAAUGCGCAGAGAUCGGGAGGAACACCAAUGGCGAAAGCAGGUACCUGGACCAUUACUGACACUCAGCUGCGAAAGCUAGGGGAGCAAACAGG